Molecule: ribosomal RNA, 503 nt
Filed under: uncultured bacterium
Lineage: Bacteria
Description: partial 16S ribosomal RNA
Rfam family: Bacterial small subunit ribosomal RNA
Source: RNAcentral
GAUGAAUGCUAGCGGCAGGCCUAACACAUGCAAGUCGAGGGGUAGCAGGAUUAAGCUUGCUUAAUUGCUGACGACCGGCGCACGGGUGCGUAACGCGUAUGCGACCUACCUUAUACUGGGGUAUAGCCCGGAGAAAUUCGGAUUAAUCCCCCAUAGUACUAAUGAAUCGCAUGGUUUAUUAGUUAAAGCAUUGCGGUAUAAGAUGGGCAUGCGUCCUAUUAGCUAGAUGGUGAGGUAACGGCUCACCAUGGCUACGAUAGGUAGGGGGCCUGAGAGGGUGGUCCCCCACACUGGUACUGGGACACGGACCAGACUCCUACGGGAGGCAGCAGUGAGGAAUAUUGGUCAAUGGGCGCAAUCCUGAACCAGCCAUGCCGCGUGCAGGAAGAAUGCCCUAUGGGUUGUAAACUGCUUUUAUUUGGGAAUAAACCUCUUUACGUGUAGAGAGCUGAAGGUACCAAAUGAAUAAGCACCGGCUAACUCCGUGCCAGCAGCCGCCGUAA